UCCUUACAUUGUUGAAAACCACCCCACCAAAAAAACCAUUUUGCUUAUAAACAUUGAUAUUUAUUAGAAAUUAAAAUGGAGAAAUUUCAUGAUGUUGUUUCUCCAGUUUGUUGCAAUAUCACCUUUCCGGUAGCCUCCGGAAAUCUCCAUUCUGCAUUCAUGUGCUCAUGAGAAUGAAAUCAACAAAUAACACCUUAGUAUCCAUAUAGAGAUAUUUUGGCUUGUGUGGACCUCCUACAAGGGUCAUGGGAGCCCCGAGAGUUUGUGGACCUCACUUUGAGAAUCACUGUUCUACAUAAUUCCUGUGGCUGUUUUUAACACCAUGGGCUUCUGUCUUCCUCCUACCUUCCUGGCUCCUGCUUCUUGUUAGGUUUCCAAGGGAAGGUGAGGGUUAAAGACACACAUAGAGCGAGAGGGCGGCUCAACAGCAAAUGCAGGUAUUUAUGUCCAGGUAAACCUGCCGAGGUGGAGGACCAGCUUAAUGCCAGUGCCCACCACUGCUUACAGGCUGGGAUACUUGUAGGUAUGGCAGGGAGGGGUCUGGGCAGUAUGGCGUGCUGCCAGGGAAGAUGUUGAGAAGACGUUCCCACAAUGAGGCAGUUGGGGCCUUGUUCCCACAGAAUGUAAUAAUGAUGUUCCUUGGACUUUUUCUCAGCAGAAUGUGUUAAAGUCAGGCGGUUGGGCAGGCAGGUUCUCAUGGCCCGAACCCUCGUGGAAUGUUUCACUUUGACCAAGGUCUGCAUAUUGGCAGGGAGCUUACAAAAUGGUGCAUUUUGGAUUAACAGGUCUCAGUCUUGGGCUCCUCGUUGUCUGACAGAUCCUAAAUCUUGGCCCCUGCUGUUCCAGGUUCUCUUCUCAUCAUGCAUGUUCUCUGGGUAAUUUCAUUCACUCCUAAGGCUUAAAACAUCAUCUCUCUGCUGAAGGCUUCUAAAUCUCUUUCCCUAGCUCGGAGCCCUUUUCUGAGAUUCAGAUCCAUGUGUAGUUUGAUCUGGUGGGCACUGGUACUUUUGUAUUCCACAGGUAUCUUUGGCAACUAUCUACUUCUUUCUAUCUUCAGGGCUAUUCUUUCAGGGUCAUUCUAGCAGUCCCUAGCAGAGUUUACUGUCCUUGUCCCCGCCUGCUUUUGGUCCAUUCUCCAUCAUUGUAGAGAGAUAUAUUUAAUCAAAUCUUCUCAUUCAUGAUUAGGUCAUGUCAGUGCCUUUCCAUUAGUCUUUGGAUAAAGGCUAAGCAUUUUAAAAUGCUUAAUGGCUUUUUGUGAUAUGACUCUUACCUAAAACUCUCCAGCUUGUGUUUUGCAGUUUGUCCCUUCUCUUGAACUUCAUCUUUCAGUCACACUGAACUUUCAGGCUCUCCUAAUGGCUAUGUGUUCUCAUCCUCUGGGCAUUUACCUCUGCUGUUCCAGGAAAUGGUCUUCAACAUCUUCAGAUACCUAGAAGGUUUGCCCCUCAGUGGGAAGAAAGCUUCCAACUCCCAGCGGUUCCAGCAGAAGUCCUGGGGCUGGAGAGCUGUUCCUGAGUUGCCUGUGAUCACAUACCACACCUGAUGGCAUCACUGUAUCCAGGCUCCAGGUGCAUAGAAUGUUGUGAGGUCAUGACUGCCAGCAUUAUGACCAGUCUUGGAACUAGGAUUGGGGUGGGGUUCAUCCCACCCAGACCACAGAGACUGAAAAUAAGAAAGGGGUGAGGCCUAAGGGACAAUCAGGAUGUUUUUCAGAGAGAAGUGUGGAUGCUGGACAGGAAGAACCACAGAUACCAGAUACGGAAAAGGAAGAAUCAACACUUUCAGAGAUGGAGCCUGUUGAGCCACAGUACCAACUAGUCAAUGCUGAAUCGACUUCUCCCUUUCUACAUUGCCUGAGAGAAGUCAUUGGGGAAUACUCUGUACACGAAUUUUCACUGUUGGGGAAAACAGAGAGUCAAGGGAUUGGAUUGUGGAUUGCAUUGGUGGUUUUCCUCAGUUUCCUCAUCUUCUCCACAAGUUUCUACAUAUCGAAUGCAGAGCAGCCCUUCUUCAAAGGACCUCCUACGGAAGCUGCUAAGGAACUCAGUCUGUAGCUCUGCGUGGAGCCAUGUGUAAACACUGAACUGAGACCUGCCACCUCCUACUACCUAAGGGCCCAUUUUCAUCUGAUAUCAUCCCCCAGAAACAAACUCAUGAUGACUUCCAUGUUUUUUUUAGAUUAGAUACAUGGAGAAUUUUCCUUUCCCUUAGAAUUAAAAUCCUGCAUUCUAAUUUUCAAGUGAUGUUCCCAGGAGAAAUGAUAAUGCAGCAAUGGACAAGAACAGGAACAAGAGACAGUCUUACCAUCUUCUUACAAUUUAUAGAUGGGACAGUGGAAAGAGAAGCCACAUCGGGGUUGGGCAUGCAGAGACCUGGUCCUAAAUCUGUGUGACUUUUGCGAAAUCCUUUUGCCUCACAGAGCUCUAGGUUCUUAUCUGUCAAACAGGAACCAGACCAUCAGAUCCGUAGAGAUCCAACCAAUGAAGGAGACUUCGAAAACUUCACAUUGCCGUGUCAAUGUGAGGUUGCUGGAUGGUUAUGACAAGAAAUCACAUUAAAUUCACUGGGGUAACAUUGUUCAUGAAACGGGAUAAUGUGUUUCAGCGAUGAACCACCCAUGGCCUUACUACAGACAUAUUUCCACUUUGAAAAUGUGUGUGAGUGUACAUGUCUGUGUGUGAGGCAGAGAUUAGAAAGUGGUAAAACUUUUUCGUCUCUACAGAACUCUCUCCAAGUGCACACCCAUAGAUUGGUUUGCUUGUGGAAUCCUAGCAUAUCAGAAAUGAAGGAAUCUCAGAAAUUGUUUUCAUCAAACACCUCAUAUGCAGAAGGCAAAAUGAAGGUUCAGAGCAGAAAUGAUUUGUCCAAGGAUGCAACACUCAUCUGCAGCAGAGGGAAGCUGAGCUCUGCAGACCCACCUAGCACUGCAGAGGCAGCCCUCUAGGACAAGGCUUCAUAAAAAAGUGACUUUAUGAGUUGGCUCCAUAAAAAAGAUACAGAU
This 3001-nucleotide long non-coding RNA is filed under the name Homo sapiens (human). RNAcentral describes it as "HSALNT0371407". The record is from RNAcentral. Lineage: Eukaryota; Metazoa; Chordata; Mammalia; Primates; Hominidae.